RNAcentral lists this small nucleolar RNA (57 nucleotides) under Triticum aestivum (bread wheat). Its description in RNAcentral is "Small nucleolar RNA Z107/R87". It matches the Rfam family "Small nucleolar RNA Z107/R87". From Rfam's summary of the family: Z107 and R87 are members of the C/D class of snoRNA which contain the C (UGAUGA) and D (CUGA) box motifs. Most of the members of the box C/D family function in directing site-specific 2'-O-methylation of substrate RNA The record is from Rfam by way of RNAcentral. Lineage: Eukaryota; Viridiplantae; Streptophyta; Magnoliopsida; Poales; Poaceae. RNAcentral also lists the same sequence under 1 other name.
GAUGGCAGUGACGAUUCCAAAUAUUCAAGCUCAACAGACCAAAUCACAGGAGCCAUC